RNAcentral lists this ribosomal RNA (623 nucleotides) under uncultured bacterium. RNAcentral's name for it is "bacterial SSU rRNA". The stretch from base 1 to 518 matches the Rfam family "Bacterial small subunit ribosomal RNA", at positions 338 to 873 of the family's 1533-position model. The record is from RNAcentral.
CCUACGGGAGGCAGCAGUGGGGAAUAUUGGACAAUGGGCGCAAGCCUGAUCCAGCAAUGCCGCGUGAGUGAUGAAGGCCUUAGGGUCGUAAAGCUCUUUUACCAGGGAUGAUAAUGACAGUACCUGGAGAAUAAGCUCCGGCUAACUCCGUGCCAGCAGCCGCGGUAAUACGGAGGGAGCUAGCGUUGUUCGGAAUUACUGGGCGUAAAGCGUACGUAGGCGGUUAUUCAAGUCAGAGGUGAAAGCCCGGGGCUCAACCCCGGAACGGCCUUUGAAACUAGGUAGCUAGAAUCUUGGAGAGGUCAGUGGAAUUCCGAGUGUAGAGGUGAAAUUCGUAGAUAUUCGGAAGAACACCAGUGGCGAAGGCGACUGACUGGACAAGUAUUGACGCUGAGGUACGAAAGCGUGGGGAGCAAACAGGAUUAGAUACCCUGGUAGUCCACGCCGUAAACGAUGAUAACUAGCUGUCCGGGCACUUGGUGCCUGGGUGGCGCNGCUAUCGCAUUAAGUUAUCCGUCCGUCGGGUAGGUACGGUCGGCGAAGAAGUUAAAACGUUAAAACGGUAAAGUUAGUACGGUCGUGUAGUUACGUUGUCCGAACGGACGACGACGAGGGGAGGUAGG